Molecule: ribosomal RNA, 385 nt
Filed under: uncultured bacterium
Lineage: Bacteria
Description: bacterial SSU rRNA
Rfam family: Bacterial small subunit ribosomal RNA
Source: RNAcentral
CUUACCUGGGUUUGACAUGGAUCGGGAGUGCUCAGAGAUGGGUGUGCCUCUUUUGGGGUCGGUUCACAGGUGGUGCAUGGCUGUCGUCAGCUCGUGUCGUGAGAUGUUGGGUUAAGUCCCGCAACGAGCGCAACCCUUGUUCACUGUUGCCAGCACGUUAUGGUGGGGACUCAGUGGAGACCGCCGGGGUCAACUCGGAGGAAGGUGGGGAUGACGUCAAGUCAUCAUGCCCCUUAUGUCCAGGGCUUCACGCAUGCUACAAUGGCUGGUACAGAGAGUGGCGAGCCUGUGAGGGUGAGCGAAUCUCCGAAAACCGGUUUCAGUUCGGAAUGGGGUUUGCAACUUGACCUCAUGAAGUUGGAGUCGCUAGUUAUUGCAGAUACCG